UAAGCAUACGGCGAAUGCCUUGGCGUUACGUGCCGAUGAAGGACGGGACAACGCACCGAUAUGCGCGGGGGAGUGGCUUGUACACAGUGAUCCCGCGAUUUCCGAAUGGGGCAACCCACUCACCUUGUGUGAGUACCUCACUUUUGUGAGGAGGGCACCAGGCGAACUGAAACAUCUCAGUACCCUGUGGAAGAGUAAUUUACACCCGUAGUAGUGGCGAACGAACCGGGUUGAGCCUAAACGCUGCUCGUGCCAAUGGACUAGCACUUGCGGGCAGCGGGUUGUAGGGUUAGCAUGGGACGACCUAGUCAGCGUCCCCCAGAUACUUCAUUGAACUCCGAAGGCGUUUGGAAUACGCCGCCAUAGAGCGUGAAAGCCGCGUAAUCGUUUGAUGAACAUCCUGGCGCUAAUUCCUGAGUAGGGCCAGACACGUGAAAUCUGACCUGAAUCUAGGGGGCCCACCCUCUAAGGCAACCUACACGUAACGACCGAUAGCGCACAGUACCGUGAGGGAACGGUGAAAAGAACCCCGGUUAGGGGAGUGAAAUAGAACCUGAAACCGUAUGCUUCCAUACCGUCGAAGGGCGUGGUGAUGUUUACAUCACUGCCUAACGGCGUGCCUUUUGGAGUAUGAUCCGGCGAGUUUGUCUUUGUGGCUUGGUUAAGACAGUUAUAGUCGUAGCCAUAGUGAAAGCGAGCCUGAAUAGGGCGUUUGUCGCAAGGAUAAGACCCGAAACCGCGUGAGCUACCCAUGGCCAGGCUGAAGCGUUCCUAACAGAACGUGGAGGGCCGAACCGGUGUCUGUUGCAAAAGGCUCGGAUGAGCUGUGGGUAGGGGUGAAAUGCCAAUCGAACGCGGAGAUAGCUGGUUCUCCCCGAAAUGUAUUGAGGUACAGCCGUGGUAUAUACUGUUGGCGGAGGUAGAGCACUGUUGUUGUAAGGGGGCUUCACCGCUUACCGAGCGACGGCAAACUCCGAAUGCCGCCAUCAGCUUCCCACGAGUGAGACAGUGGGUGCUAACAUUCAUUGUCAAAAGGGAAACAACCCAGACCUGCUGCUAAGGCCCCCAAGUGGUGACUGAGUGGGAAAGGUUGUUCGGACGCGUAGACAACCAGGAGGUUGGCUCAGAAGCAGCCACCCUUUAAAGAGUGCGUAAUAGCUCACUGGUCGAGUGUCCGAGCGCCGAUACUUUAACGGGGCAAAGUCUCCCGCCGAAGCACAGGAUUGGUCUUUACCAGACCAAUGGUAGGGGAGCGUGGUGGUUGCAGUGAAGGCCGAGCGGAAGCCCGACUGGAGCGACCACCAGUGCGAAUGCCGGAAUGAGUAACAGUGAAGGGGGGUGAGAACCCCCCCCACCGCAAGCCUAAGGUUUCCGCCGCAAGGGUGUUCCGCGGCGGGUUAGUCGGCCCUUAGGUGUAGGCGCUAGCCGAAACCGAUGGACAACAGGUACAUAUUCCUGUACCACUGAAUGUCCGUUUGACCGAUGCGGGAUGCUGAGGGGUAGACCUCGCGACGAGACGUGCGUCGUCCAAGCCGGUAGGGAGUAUCUGGUGGUAAGUCCCCAGGUACGUUGACCGAGAGGCGAUAGAAAGGGAAUGAGCUUGCUCUUUCCCAAUGAGGUUACGCCUGUGCAGCCUAGAAAGGCCUGCUAGGGAGGACAUUUGGUGACCGUACCGCAAACCGACACAGGUAGGUGGAUUGAGUAAAUUAAGGUGGACGAGUGAUCCCUGGUUAAGGAACUCGGCAAAUUGACCCCGUACCUUCGGAAGAAGGGGUGCUGCUAAGGGUGUAGCCUUUUACAGGUGAAGCUCUAGGCAGCCGCAGCAAAGAGGCCCAGGCGACUGGAUACCAGAACCACAGCUCCCUGCUCAAGCCGCAAGGCGACGUAUAGGGGGUGAUGCCUGCCCAGUGCUGGAAGGUUAAGGGGAGGGGUGAAAGCUCCGAACCGAAGCCCCAGUGAACGGCGGCUGUAACUAUAACAGUCCUAAGGUAGCGAAAUUCCUUGUCGGGUAAGUUCCGACCCGCACGAAAGGCAUCACGAUCUGGGCACUGUCUCAACCAGGGGCUCGGUGAAAUUGCACUGCCGGUGAAGAUGCCGGCACCGCAUAGCAGGACAAAAAGACCCCGUGGAGCUUUACUCUACCUUGCCAUCGGCUUAGGGCGUAGGAUGCGUAGCAUAGGUGGGAGGCUUUGAACGUUCCCUCGCGGGGGAACGGGAGCCGCCAUUGAAAUACCACUCUUUUUACGCUUUGGGCCUCACCCUUACAACAUAAGGGGACGGUGGCUGGGGGGGAGUUUGACUGGGGCGGUCGCCUCCUAAAUUGUAACGGAGGUGCGCAACGGUACCCUCAGGUGGGAUGGCAACCCACCGUAGCGUGGAACGGCAUAAGGGUGCUUGACUGCAAGGCUUACAAGCCGCGCAGAGCCGAAAGGCGGCCGUACUGAUCCCACAGUGCUGCGUGGAAAGGCUGUGGCUUAACGGACAAAAGCUACCCCGGGGAUAACAGGCUCAGACCUCCCAAGAGUUCAUAUCGACGGAGGAGCGUGGCACCUCGAUGUCGGCUCGUCGUAUCCUGGGGCUGGAGUAGGUCCCAAGGGUUGGGCUGUUCGCCCAUUAAAACGGCACGCGAGCUGGGUUCAGAACGUCGUGAGACAGUUCGGUCUCUAUCCGCUAUGCGCGUUUAGAGUAUUGCGGGGAGCUGGCCCUAGUACGAGAGGACCGGGCUGGACGCACCGCUGGUGGAGGUGUUGUGGGACGACCUGCAAGCACCGUAGCUACGUGCGGCAACAUAAACCGCUGAAAGCAUCUAAGUGGGAAGUGUGCCCCUAGAUUAGUACUCUCUCUGCUUUUAGGCAGGUAAGCCUCCCAGAAGAUUACUGGGUUAAGCGGCUCAAGCUGUAAGUCCCGUGAGGGAUUGAGGCAACGAGUGCGCACAGGCGAGGGCUUCUUUGC
RNAcentral lists this ribosomal RNA (2952 nucleotides) under microbial mat metagenome. RNAcentral's name for it is "bacterial LSU rRNA". It matches the Rfam family "Bacterial large subunit ribosomal RNA". The record is from RNAcentral.